GGCGGCGUAGCCAAGUGGACUAAGGCUACGGUUUGCAAAACCGUCAUCCCCGGUUCGAAUCCGGGCGCCGCCUCCA
Molecule: transfer RNA, 76 nt
Filed under: Candidatus Brocadiia bacterium
Lineage: Bacteria; Pseudomonadati; Planctomycetota; Candidatus Brocadiia
Also listed under: 1 other name
Description: tRNA-Cys
Rfam family: tRNA
About the family: Transfer RNA (tRNA) molecules are approximately 80 nucleotides in length. Their secondary structure includes four short double-helical elements and three loops (D, anti-codon, and T loops). Further hydrogen bonds mediate the characteristic L-shaped molecular structure. tRNAs have two regions of fundamental functional importance: the anti-codon, which is responsible for specific mRNA codon recognition, and the 3' end, to which the tRNAs corresponding amino acid is attached (by aminoacyl-tRNA synthetases). tRNAs cope with the degeneracy of the genetic code in two manners: having more than one tRNA (with a specific anti-codon) for a particular amino acid; and 'wobble' base-pairing, i.e. permitting non-standard base-pairing at the 3rd anti-codon position.
Source: RNAcentral